NNNNNNNNNNNNNNNNNNNNNNNNNNNNNNNNNNNNNNNNNNNNNNNNNNNNNNGGCCCCGGCGGCCGUGCUUGGAGUUGUUGUGGACGAACAUGUUGUCGGACACGGCCAGGACGUGGCCGUCCACAUUCACCGUCGUCGACACGACCACCUGCGGGAGAGGGGCGGAGGGGAGCGCAGGGUCAGGGCUGCCCCCUGCCCGCCUGCUCCCGCAGGGUCCUUCCUCCUUCCACGGACAAGGCGGCCCCACCGGAGGGUCCUCAGCCCCUCUUUGUCCCUAGUGUCCCCCCACACCUCUGGGCAUCCCGGGAUCGUCACGGCCCUGCAUUGCCUUCUGAACUGCUCCGUCCCUGGACGGGGCAGCCUUGCUGGUGGGGUGUGUGCAAAUACACACGUGUGCAGCUGUGUAAUUGUGUGUGCGUGUGGAUGCACGUGGGCAUACAUAAGCAGCUGUGUGCACACAUGCAUGUGUGCAUGCAUGCGUGUGUGUGUUUGCGUGCCCGUGUAUGUGGGGGCUUGUGUGCACGCAUAAACAUCUGCAGACACGUGUGCAUUUGUGUGCACACGACAGAGAACAACACGGUGCUGCAAGAUCCCAGCAUCGGCCAGGGCACUGCCUUGGUGUCACCACGCCACCAGGCUGGAGGGCACCGGGCACGGGGUGGGGGGCCCCCCACCCCGUGCCCUGCAACCGCAGCCCACGCCCCCACGCCUCCCCUCGGUCGCUCCCUCCGGCGUGGAGGUGGGUGGACUUGGCUGUUCUCCCGGAGCUGCUUGGUGCUAUGCAAAUUGGAUAGGUCGUUAAUCAUGUAAAAAUGUCACAAUUAUCAUAUCUUUACGAGAGGCCCUAAUGAAGGCACCCGUGCUGGGUGGGAGACGGGACAGACCCCCCCCACUCCACUCUGCAAAAGGAAACUCCAGCUGCCGCGAGGAAAGCUCGGCUCUGGGAAGGGGGGACACGGAGGAAGAGUUUGCAAAGGGUCUCGGGCAGUUUGGCACUCGCUUCCCCUUUGGGUCCCCUAGAUCCUUUUGGGAACAAAUAAGCAGGGUUGGCUCGCGGCCCGGGGCUCACCUGGAAGCGCCGCAUGUCCCGGGGGUUCCCGGCGUUCUUCAGGCAGUUCUGGUUGCAUUUGAGGAAGAACUUGAGGAAAAACCUAA
This 1158-nucleotide long non-coding RNA is filed under the name Struthio camelus australis. Its description in RNAcentral is "lncRNA (ENSSCUG00000011285.1)". Lineage: Eukaryota; Metazoa; Chordata; Aves; Struthioniformes; Struthionidae. The record is from RNAcentral.